Molecule: microRNA precursor, 71 nt
Filed under: Bombyx mori (domestic silkworm)
Lineage: Eukaryota; Metazoa; Arthropoda; Insecta; Lepidoptera; Bombycidae
Description: mir-2774 microRNA precursor family
Rfam family: mir-2774 microRNA precursor family
Source: Rfam by way of RNAcentral
AUAGCAUUCAGACCGUUCGUCGGUCUACUGAGCAAAUUCAGGCGCUCGGUGGAAGAUUUUCCCUUUGUCUA